CCUACGGGGGCAGCAGUGGGGAAUAUUGGACAAUGGGCGAAAGCCUGAUCCAGCCAUGCCGCGUGUGUGAAGAAGGCCUUCGGGUUGUAAAGCACUUUCAGUGGGGAAGAAAGCCUUGGGGCUAAUACCCUCGAGGAAGGACAUCACCCACAGAAGAAGCACCGGCUAACUCCGUGCCAGCAGCCGCGGUAAUACGGAGGGUGCGAGCGUUAAUCGGAAUUACUGGGCGUAAAGCGCGCGUAGGCGGUCUGAUAAGCCGGUUGUGAAAGCCCCGGGCUCAACCUGGGAACGGCAUCCGGAACUGUCAGGCUAGAGUGCAGGAGAGGAAGGUAGAAUUCCCGGUGUAGCAGUGAAAUGCGUAGAGAUCGGGAGGAAUACCAGUGGCGAAGGCGGCCUUCUGGACUGACACUGACGCUGAGGUGCGAAAGCGUGGGUAGCAAACAGGAUUAGAUACCCGUGUAGUC
RNAcentral lists this ribosomal RNA (464 nucleotides) under Vreelandella stevensii. Its description in RNAcentral is "partial 16S ribosomal RNA". It matches the Rfam family "Bacterial small subunit ribosomal RNA", at positions 338 to 795 of the family's 1533-position model. Lineage: Bacteria; Pseudomonadati; Pseudomonadota; Gammaproteobacteria; Oceanospirillales; Halomonadaceae. The record is from RNAcentral.